CCGGUCAGGGAUGGGCUCGCGGCCUAUCAGCUUGUUGGUGGGGUAACGGCCUACCAAGGCGAUGACGGGUAGCCGGCCUGAGAGGGCGACCGGCCACACUGGGACUGAGACACGGCCCAG
Molecule: ribosomal RNA, 120 nt
Filed under: uncultured bacterium
Lineage: Bacteria
Description: partial 16S ribosomal RNA
Rfam family: Bacterial small subunit ribosomal RNA
Source: RNAcentral